Molecule: ribosomal RNA, 468 nt
Filed under: uncultured bacterium
Lineage: Bacteria
Description: partial 16S ribosomal RNA
Rfam family: Bacterial small subunit ribosomal RNA
Source: RNAcentral
GAUGAACGCUGGCGGCGUGCUUAACACAUGCAAGUCGAACGGAAAGGCCCUGCUUUUGUGGGGUGCUCGAGUGGCGAACGGGUGAGUAACACGUGAGUAACCUGCCCUUGACUUUGGGAUAACUUCAGGAAACUGGGGCUAAUACCGGAUAGGAGCUCCUGCUGCAUGGUGGGGGUUGGAAAGUUUCGGCGGUUGGGGAUGGACUCGCGGCUUAUCAGCCUGUUGGUGGGGUAGUGGCUUACCAAGGCUUUGACGGGUAGCCGGCCUGAGAGGGUGACCGGCCACAUUGGGACUGAGAUACGGCCCAGACUCCUACGGGAGGCAGCAGUGGGGAAUAUUGCACAAUGGGCGGAAGCCUGAUGCAGCAACGCCGCGUGCGGGAUGACGGCCUUCGGGUUGUAAACCGCUUUCGCCUGUGACGAAGCGUGAGUGACGGUAAUGGGUAAAGAAGCACCGGCUAACUACGUG